RNAcentral lists this long non-coding RNA (1619 nucleotides) under Centruroides sculpturatus (bark scorpion). Its description in RNAcentral is "uncharacterized LOC111625361". Lineage: Eukaryota; Metazoa; Arthropoda; Arachnida; Scorpiones; Buthidae. The record is from RNAcentral.
UUCUCGUUGUGAUCGGACGUGCUUUUCUUUCGCUCUUCGAUUGCGUUUUUUGCGGUUUAAAGACUUUUACAGAGAAGUUUGAAGAUUUUUUAGUCAAGUCUUAGUCCGUAUUGAUCCUAGACGUAAGAAUUUAUUUAAUAUUACUUGGAGAAUCGGUUCCAGAAGACAUCUCGGCACAUCGUUCGAUGGUCGACCGUUUGCGCUUCGGAUUCGAAUCUUUUAGAUUUAAAAAGGCGGCUGCGGAUGAAGAUGUUGGUGCGUUGUUGGAGGCGGUUCCGGCGGAGGCAGGCGGUGGCGCCGGAGGGAGAGGGUUCCUCGGACGACGCGGAACGAGUCUGUCGUUCCGUGCCGUUGGAGGAGCGGGGGCUCGACGAGCGACAGGCAGCGGGUGAAGAAGACCUUCGCCAAGUGCGCGUGGCGUGGCAUCCUCCCGGAGUCGGGAUGAUGCGACGCUACACCCUGGGUCCAGUGCGCUUGGCCGAGGUCUUCGGGGGUCAUCCGGCCACAGACCUUGCUGUGGAGGAUGUCGAAAGUGACAGCUCGUCCGAGCUGACACUUUCUGUUUGGUCGUGUUCUGCCCGUUCGUCCGCGACGGCGACGCCACCGCCUUGCCGAAGUCGGGACGGGGAGGAGUCGGAGGAGAGAGCCCCCGAAGUCGAGGGACCGUGCUGUCCGUGGUUUUUUUGCUGCGGACGGCUGCGGUUGCCUUGGCCUAGGCGGUGAUCUUCUUCGACUUCCUCUUCUUCACCCGGAUGCGACUUUCUUACCGGAUUCGACACUUUUCACCCGGACAUGACAUCUUUUAACGGACGUGACCUCUUUUACCCGGACGUGACCCACGGACUUGACACGUUUCUUCACCGGACGCGACAUUCGGCCGACCUUUCUUCCCAAACAGCUGUUAUGAGGAUUGAGCUUCCGGUUAGGGUUCGUUAGGUUAGCCUAGGCUAGGCCGGGUCCUUCGCUCUUCUCAUAACACUGUUCGGGAAGAAAGACUGUCUGAUAAAGGUAAUAAUCUUGACCUUAGGUAAUAAAUGAAUAAACUUCUCGUUUUCUCACUGUCUUUGUGUUUUGUAGGAACACUUGGGAGGGAGAACAAUCUCCCUCCCCAACUUUACCACGAAAAGGACCAAGUGACCAUUUAUCGUACAAGUGAAUAUUUUCCGAUGACAUGCCGAAGAUAUUCUUCGAUCACACACAUACACACACAUACGCACGGACAUAACACCACUGUACACGAAGAUAUACACCGUUUAACCUUUACUCGAAUUCUCGCACUCAUGCACUUAACGUCAAGCGCCUCGUUCUGUGUAAUUCCACACAAUGAAACAACCCGAACACUCGCUUCCCACAAAUCCAACCCCUGGGUCCUCGUCCCGGGAAGUGGAAACGCCAAUUUUAAAGAUGAAAACACUUUAAAUUGGCGGCCGAAGGGGCUCUUGUAAUCACACAUCUUGCAUCGAUUAAAUGCAAUUUCAGACAUUAGCAUCAAUAAUCGGUUGGUGAUGAAUUGGGAAGGAGAAGAAUCCUGUACCAAGUAUUAAACAUUGUUUUUCCCACUGUGUUUUGUUUUUGUGGCUUUUUUUAAAUCGUGGUCUCAAACUUUUUCAGGCAAAUUG